RNAcentral lists this ribosomal RNA (303 nucleotides) under uncultured bacterium. Its description in RNAcentral is "partial 16S ribosomal RNA". It matches the Rfam family "Bacterial small subunit ribosomal RNA", at positions 507 to 808 of the family's 1533-position model. The record is from RNAcentral.
AGCAGCAGCCGCGGGAAUACGUAGGUCCCGAGCGUUGUCCGGAUUUAUUGGGCGUAAAGCGAGCGCAGGCGGUUAGAUAAGUCUGAAGUUAAAGGCUGUGGCUUAACCAUAGUACGCUUUGGAAACUGUUUAACUUGAGUGCAAGAGGGGAGAGUGGAAUUCCAUGUGUAGCGGUGAAAUGCGUAGAUAUAUGGAGGAACACCGGUGGCGAAAGCGGCUCUCUGGUCUGUCACUGACGCUGAGGCUCGAAAGCGUGGGUAGCGAACAGGAUUAGAUACCCCCGUAGUCCCUGUCUCUUAUACA